UACGGAAGGCAGCAGUGGGGAAUAUUGGACAAUGGGCGAAAGCCUGAUCCAGCCAUGCCGCAUGAGUGAAGAAGGCCUUCGGGUUGUAAAGCUCUUUUAGUGAGAAAGAUAAUGACGGUACUCACAGAAGAAGUCCUGGCUAACUCCGUGCCAGCAGCCGCGGUAAUACGGAGAGGGCUAGCGUUAUUCGGAAUUAUUGGGCGUAAAGAGCGCGUAGGCUGAUUAGUAAGUUAAAAGUGAAAUCCCAAAGCUUAACUUUGGAAUUGCUUUUUAAAACUGCUAGUCUAGAGAUUUGAAAGAGGAUAGAGGAAUUCCUAGUGUAGAGGUGAAAUUCGUAAAUAUUAGGAGGAACACCAGUGGCGAAGGCGUCUAUCUGGUUCAAAUCUGACGCUGAGGCGCGAAGGACGUGGGGAGCAAACAGGGAUUAGAUACCCGU
This 436-nucleotide ribosomal RNA is filed under the name uncultured bacterium. Its description in RNAcentral is "bacterial SSU rRNA". It matches the Rfam family "Bacterial small subunit ribosomal RNA", at positions 340 to 789 of the family's 1533-position model. The record is from RNAcentral.